AGUGAACGCUGGCGGUAGGCCUAACACAUGCAAGUCGAACGGCAGCACAGUAAGAGCUUGCUCUUACGGGUGGCGAGUGGCGGACGGGUGAGGAAUACAUCGGAAUCUACUUUUUCGUGGGGGAUAACGUAGGGAAACUUACGCUAAUACCGCAUACGACCUACGGGUGAAAGCAGGGGAUCUUCGGACCUUGCGCAAUUGAAUGAGCCGAUGUCGGAUUAGCUAGUUGGCGGGGUAAAGGCCCACCAAGGCGACGAUCCGUAGCUGGUCUGAGAGGAUGAUCAGCCACACUGGAACUGAGACACGGUCCAGACUCCUACGGGAGGCAGCAGUGGGGAAUAUUGGACAAUGGGCGCAAACCUGAUCCAGCAAUACCGCGUGGGUGAAGAAGGCCUUCGGGUUGUAAAGCCCUUUUGUUGGGAAAGAAAAGCAGCAGGUUAAUACCCCGCUGUUCUGACGGUACCCAAAGAAUAAGCACCGGCUAACUUCGUG
This 492-nucleotide ribosomal RNA is filed under the name uncultured bacterium. RNAcentral's name for it is "partial 16S ribosomal RNA". It matches the Rfam family "Bacterial small subunit ribosomal RNA", at positions 29 to 507 of the family's 1533-position model. The record is from RNAcentral.